ACCAUGGCAAAGGUGAAGUCCAGAGUGAACGGAUUGGGUCGUAUUGGGCAUCUGGUCACCAGGGCUGCUUCUAACUCUGGCAAAGUAAAUAAUGUCGCCAUCAAUGACCCCUUCAUUGACCUCAACUACGUGAUCUACAUGUUCCAAGAUGACUCCACUCACAGCAAAUUCCAUGGCACCAUCAAGGCCAAGAACAGGAAGAUUUUUUUUUUUUUUUUUUGUCAUCAAUGGAAAUUCCAUCACCAUCUUCCAGGAGCGAGAUCCCACCAAAAUCAACUGGGAUGACACCAGCGCUGAUUAUGUAGUGGGGUCCAUCAUCAUCUUCAAUACCUUAGAGAAGGUUGGGGCUCACUUAUGCAGGAGCUAAAGGGAUCAUCAUCACCGCCCCCUCCGCUCAUGCCCCCAUGUUUGUGAUGGGCAUGAACCACAAGAAGUACCAGAAAAACCUCUUCAUUGUGAGCAAUGCCUGCCUCUUGCACCACCAACUGCUUAGACCACCUGGCCAAAGUCAAUCACAAAAACUUUGGCAUUGUGGAGGGACUCAUGGCCACCGUCCAGGCCAUCUCUGCCACCCAGAAGACUGUGGAAGGCCCCUCUGGGGGAAGCUGUGGCACAACGGGUGUAGGGCUUUCCAGAACAUCAUCCCUGUAUCCACUGGCACUGCCAAGGCUGUGAGUAGGGUCAUCCUCGAGCAGCAUGGGAAGCUCACGAGCAUGGCCUUCUGUGUCCCCACAGCCAAUGUGUCCAUUGUGGACCUGAACUGCCAUUUGGAGAAACCUGCCAAAUAUGAUGACAUCAAGAAGGUGGUGCAGCAAGCAUUUGAGGGCCCCUCAAGGGUAUCCUGGGUUACCCUGAGCACAUAGUUGUGUCCUCCGACUUUAACAGUGACACCCACUCUUCCACCCUUAAUUCUGGGGCUGGCAUGGCCCUCAAUGACCGCUUUGCUAAGCUCAUUUCCUGGUAUGACAAUGAAUUUGGCUACAGCAAAAGGGUGGUGGAUCUCAUGGUCCACAUGGCCUCCAAGGAUUAA
Carlito syrichta (Philippine tarsier) is the source of this 1030-nucleotide RNA transcript. It is a transcript of the gene named glyceraldehyde-3-phosphate dehydrogenase pseudogene, with no coding region annotated. NCBI's taxonomy places the organism in Eukaryota, Metazoa, Chordata, Mammalia, Primates, Tarsiidae. The transcript has a single exon. The record is from RefSeq and is a predicted model, not a curated record.